RNA transcript from Astyanax mexicanus (Mexican tetra), 6703 nucleotides. It is a transcript of the gene named ectodermal-neural cortex 1, with no coding region annotated. Lineage: Eukaryota; Metazoa; Chordata; Actinopteri; Characiformes; Acestrorhamphidae. The record is from RefSeq and is a predicted model, not a curated record. The transcript is spliced from 5 exons.
UGCAUCUCCGCUCACUGGCUCCUCUGCUCCUCGUUCUUCUUCAUUCUUCAGCCUCGCUCCCAUCUCCGCCCCGCCCCCUUCCUCUGCUUCCCUCUCUCAUUAAAACACACCCCUCCAGCCGCGGCCAGCACACACUCACACGAGCGGCUGGCACGAGCGGCAGUGUCCGAGAGCGCGAGCUUGGCUCACGCGAGAGCAACGCUCGGGAACUUCGCUUCGGCCGUGAAAUCCUCGGAUAAUCGCUUCAGCGUUGGGCUGCUGACUGCGGAGCGCUCGCGCUGCGUGCCUCUCCCCGCUCGGGCAUGUUGGAGGACUGAAGAGGACAGAAUUGAACUCCUGCUUUCUUACAAAGAGGAUUCAAUGAAAAUGUCUGUCUGCGUCCACGAGAACCGCAAGUCGCGGGCCAGCACGGGCUCCAUGAACAUCUACCUUUUCCACAAGUCCUCAUAUGCUGACAGUGUCCUGAUGCACCUGAAUGUGCUCCGGCAGCAACGGCUCUUCACUGAUGUGCUACUCCAUGCCGGAAGCCGUUCUUUCCCCUGCCAUCGGGCUGUGCUGGCUGCCUGCAGCCGGUACUUUGAGGCAAUGUUCAGUGGCGGGCUGAGAGAAAGCCAGGCUAAGGAAGUAGACUUCAGGGAUUCCAUUCAUCCAGAGGUAUUGGAGCUUCUGUUGGAUUACGCAUACUCGUCACGCGUGGUAAUCAACGAGGAGAAUGCUGAGUCUCUGCUAGAGGCAGGCGACAUGCUGGAGUUUCAAGACAUCCGUGAUGCCUGCGCUGAGUUCCUGGAGAAGAACCUUCAUCCAUCCAACUGCCUGGGUAUGCUCCUUCUGUCUGAUGCCCACCAGUGCACCCAGCUGUCCCAGCUAUCUUGGAGCAUGUGUCUCAGUAACUUUCCAGCCAUCUGCAAGACAGAGGAGUUUCUGCAGCUUCCCAAAGACAUGCUUGUACAACUGCUCUCACACGAGGAGCUGGAGACAGAAGAUGAGAGGCUGGUCUAUGAGUCAGCACUCAACUGGGUGAACUAUGACCUGGAACGACGACACUGCCACUUGCCAGAACUGUUGCGCACUGUACGCCUUGCCCUUCUGCCUGCCAUCUUUCUCAUGGAGAAUGUCUCCACAGAGGAGCUCAUCAACAGUCAGGUCAAGAGCAAGGAGCUGGUGGACGAGGCCAUCCGUUGCAAGCUACGCAUCUUGCAGAAUGAUGGCGUGGUCAACAGCCCUUGUGCCAGGCCACGCAAGACCAGCCAUGCCCUUUUUCUGCUUGGUGGUCCUACUUUUAUGUGUGACAAGCUCUACUUGGUGGACCAGAAGGCCAAGGAGAUCAUCCCAAAGGCAGAUAUUCCAAGUCCACGCAAGGAAUUCAGCGCGUGUGCGAUCGGCUGCAAGGUCUACGUGACCGGUGGUCGAGGCUCUGAAAACGGUGUGUCCAAGGAUGUUUGGGUGUACGAUACCUUGCACGAAGAGUGGUCUAAAGCAGCACCAAUGCUGAUAGCUCGAUUUGGCCAUGGCUCAGCAGAACUGAGGCACUGUCUGUAUGUGGUCGGUGGUCACACAGCUGCGACUGGCUGCCUUCCAGCCUCGCCGUCUGUCUCCUUGAAGCAGGUGGAGCAGUAUGACCCAGUUGCCAACAAGUGGAGCAUGGUGGCACCUCUACGUGAAGGUGUUAGUAACGCAGCAGUUGUCAGUGUCAAACUCAAGCUGUUUGCCUUUGGAGGAACAAGCGUGGCUCACGACAAGCUGCCCAAGGUCCAGUGCUAUGACCCACUGGAGAACCACUGGACUGUCCCAGCAUCAUGCCCACAGCCGUGGCGCUACACUGCGGCUGCUGUGUUAGGGAACCAGAUCUUUGUAAUGGGCGGUGACACUGAGUUCUCCGCCUGUUCUGCUUACAAGUUUAGCAGCGAAACCUACCAGUGGACUAAAGUAGGUGAUGUUACAGCUAAGCGAAUGAGCUGCCAGGCAGUAGCCUCGGGAAACAAACUUUACGUAGUUGGUGGCUAUUUCGGAACACAGCGCUGCAAAACACUAGACUGCUACGAUCCUACAUUGGAUGCCUGGAACAGCAUAACCACUGUACCCUAUUCCCUAAUCCCCACUGCCUUCGUCAGCACCUGGAAGCACCUCCCAGCCUGACAUCUGCAUGCCUUGGCUGUACAUUGACCUUCCUUCAUCCUGUGAGGGCAAAAAGUAGGAGUGUGAAGCUGCCAAGCAAGCUUACUCCAUUCCUGACCCCCUAAAGAUUCCCUGUUUUCCCAUUGUUGUUGAUGUCUACUGGAUUCUGACUGUGAAGAUUCGACUGUGCAAUUUCAUCGAGACACUUUCUUCCAUUAAAAGCUCGAACUUGAUGUUGAAGACGUCCGAUUGCAAAGCUUUCCCUUUCUUUGUGCUGCAAAUUAACAGACCUACUGCUACUGCUUUGGAAAAGGCGUUUCGUAAAAAAGCUGCAACGUCAUUCCUUCGUCUCUGUGGAGCUUUUGGAACAUGGUCCUUGGUGUGGCAACUGAACAAACUGAAAACAAAAUACUCCCAACGACCAUCCGAAAAAAAGACCAAGCAGCGUCCAGCAUGAUUUGGUGUUCUGUGUCCAUUGUGUUGGUGCAUGUUGUCUGUCUUUUUUUUUUUUUUAAGAAGACUGUAAAAUAAGUGGAAAAAGACUUAACAUGCUUCUGAAAACAGAAGCCUCGCUUUAAGGAGCUGUGAACCAGAAGGUUCAAGAGAAUAAUCUUAAGACAGAGGUUGAGAACCUUGCAUUCUCUGACCUGUUUUCUGCCAGUGUUUCCAUAUAAAGCCUCUUUUUGCUCAGAAUAAAAAGUCAGACAUCUCUAAGAGGCCUUUUAGAAACAUAACAAAUGGAAAUUGUCCUUUUUUCCUCGACCGUAAAGGAUGAAAGCAGCGAGAUAAACAACCUGUUUGUCCCUUAUUGCCUCUGAUUGAACGGGAAUGGACUGAUGCUGGCUUGUUCCUGACAAACAGACCCUGGCAACCUGGUGUGAAACUGGCUGUCGGAGCACAUCCUGAGGCGAGGCACACACCAGCUUGUGUGUUUGUGUGUGUGUGAAUGUAUGUGUGUGUGUGAGAGUGUGUGAGAGAGUGUGUGUUAGUGUGGAGAAGGUCAGCAUGUCCCAGCAUGUUCUCCUGAGUGAGAAUCCAGCUGACAAGACUCUCCAUCCAGUCGUCCAUUCUUCUUCCAAAAAAAAGAGACACCAAAAAAAAAAAAAACGGACGGAGCAUGCCCACUGUGGACGGACUUUAUUGCACGACGGACAACUAGACUGACCAACAAACUGAGACACUGUCCUUUCCUCAGUGUCUCCCUAUGACCUCCAUGUAGGAGAUCAGGCAGCAGAGAACAUUGAAGAACAAGCUGCUCUACCAGUGUGAAGUUGCUUAUGAGGCUUCUUUUAAACCAAGCGUAGCCUUGUUAUAAGGUGGCGAGCAGUUCUGUUCUCACACAUAUGGCCUGAGUGGAAAAAACGCGAAAGACAGAGCGAUAGAAUGAUAGAGAGACAGAGAGAGUGAGAGUGGUGAGAGUUGUUCUGUCAGCUGGAGGGGGAAUGUAGUCUCCAUGGCAACAACAACGAGCAACCUGGAAAAAAAAGGAAAAAAAUAACUUGUGAAUUUUUCUUUUCCUGGAAAAAAGUGAAAAAAAAAACUGGUUGUCUUUUUAUAGAAUUUAAACGCUGACUUAAGGAUUUAAAUCUGUAUUUUGUAUUCAUGAAUUACAUUUAUUUGUCUUUUAAAAACUUGAGAGGUGGUAAGAUUUGCUGUUGAAAUACAUUUCUAAAAAAUUAUUUCAUUACUUUUCAAAAACAAACUUUUUAAGAUUAAAAAAAAUUCAGAUCCAUACAUUUUCAGAUUUAAAAAAUCUGAUUCAAAUCUGUCUGAUUUAGAACUUUGUGAGAUGAUGCUGUGAUUGGUUUAAUUGUGUAUUCAAUAAGAUCAGAUGGCUCAUCUCUAGCCUAAAUUCCUGUUUCUGAGUUUCAAAACAGAUAUUUAUAAUUUGUAGAGGUGUGCCAAAAAAUCGAUUCACAUAAGAAUCUUGAUUCUCAUUUACUACGAUUCAGAAUCGAUUUAAAAUGUCCCAAAAUCGAUUCUGAGGGGCGGGUUUUAGACUGAUUUUGGGCUGGGUAUUUUUGUUGGACCUGGCAACCCUGGGGAUAGCGCUUGUCCUUUCAAACGGAGAUCUUCCAGACACACACAGAGCGUAGGUGUUUGAGAAUCACCGGUAAGAUGGCAGAACAAGCACUAUAUUACAUUAGAUUAACGUGUAGUUUCAAUGUUUUAUGGCAGAAUGCUUCAUAACAAGCAUAAAAAAGAUCGCUAGUAGUUAGUUUCAGUAACUGUUAGCUAGCUAACUAGCUAACUUUCCAGUUCCACCUUAAAUAACGCUACAGGUGGCAGCGGGCUGCAGCAUUUAAGGCGGAACGGAAAAAUACAAUAAGCUAAUCAGAGCUAAUUUCAGCUCCUCAUCACAGAGGAAUUAAGGAAUGGACCAUAUGAAUUAAUUUCUCCACCUCCUGCCCCCUUUCUGAAGAAAUACAACGACCUUAAAUUAACUAGUUAAUCAGCAGCUGCUCCUGAACUUUAGCGCUCCACUGCUAUCAUCACAUCAGCCCAGCAGCGUCACCUACACACCACCGCUAGUAGCCUGGUAAUAAAGCAGUGUUAUUUAUUAUUUAUUUAUUGUUCAUUAACGUCAUUGUGAUAUCCCAGUGAUUCCUCUGUCACUGAGGACCCACAUUCCUGCACAUUUUAUUGUUUUUGUAACACAUUACCUGCUCCAGGACCAGUGUAUAUUAUGGAGGGUUUUUUUUCAAUAAGAUUCAUAAGCCAGAAGCAGAAAUUUUUAUAAUUCAAAUCGUUUUGAAUCAAAAAUCGAUUUUGAAUCGAAUCGUGGCCCCCAAAAUCGGAAUCGAAUCGAAUCGUGAGAUAGUAAACGAUUCCCACCCCUAAUAAUUUGUGGGUUUGAUUUUUUUUUUAAAAAUGAAAUUUUACCACCUUAUUAAGUUCAAUACACAAAAUGCACUUUUUUUAAUUAAGAUACGGCAUUAGCUAUUUUAAGUUUAUUAAAAGUCAGAUACAUUUAAUUCAAGUAUACAAAAUUCACAUUCAGAUACUGAAGUCAGCGUUUAGGCUCUAUAUGUCUUAAGACCUUUUAGUGUCUGCUCAUAGUCUUUUUAAUUUAUGAGUCUUUUUUUACGGUUGUUUUUUUUUAUUGUUCAUUUGAACCUAUGUGUAUUAUUAUUUUUGUAUUUAUUGAUGAUCUGCUUGCAUACAUAUCCAGAUGUACAGAAGGCGGGUUUCGUGUUUUGUGCUACACGCUACGCCGCUAUGCAUGGCCCAUAUUUGCUCUGUUACCUAAAAGCUGCUCUUUUGCACAUAUCUAAGCUACGUCAUGCCGUUUUGGUUGGGCCAGGCUGAAAUUCCUAGGGGUCAGCAAACGCUUGGCUCUCUGGCUCCACCGACCUGAAAAGAGGGAGGGAGGGGGACCAGGCUUGGGGUCGUAGGUCGUUGCCUGAAGAACAAAAAAACAGGGCUGGAUGAUGUCACAGGAUCAGAUUACCCAUGGUGCAAAGGAAAAAGACAGCAGGAGGGACUGCAAGGGGGAAGGGUCGGGGGUUUGGGCUGGCUGGGUCCUCUUACAUCCAGGAGACCAGGGUUUUAAUUUAGUGAGGGCUUGAAGGCAUCUACAACACACAAGCCCCAAUUGUAAUGCUUGUGUUUGUAGGCUACAAUUAGUCCUUUAUAUCUAAAGCAGAUCUUGAGGAUCUUGAGGCUCUGCUCUGGUGGUCCUAAAAAUAUAUAUAUAUCCAAACUACACAAUGUUAAAACUUUUCAUUUGUUUCGAUCUGAAGUAACUCUGAAGCUAGUUUCCAAAUAGAACUGUAAAAGGGUGGUUCAACCAAACACUGAACCAAUAAUGAAUCUAGUUCGGAAUGCAUCAAUGUUAUUGGAACAUUGUCAGCUGAUUUUGAUAUCUUUUAUUUGGUGCUGUAUCUGUCACUUUUAAAUAGUCAUAAUCUUUCCAGAACUCAAUUCCACUCAAUUUUUAGGCAAUUAUCUGGUGAUACUGAUAUGAUUCCGAUAAUAUUGUGCAUUCCUUUUGAGCCACCUUCGCACUUAUGUUUGGUUGUACCAUCCAUUUACCACCUGUAGUCAACAAACCUUACUUGACAGACACAGCAUGCUGGCUGAAUGCUAAACAGCGGCCAACAUGGCCUCUUGCUGACCCCGCUACGUCAGUCCCUCUGGCAGUGCUCAAACAGGAUCUGACCCAGGGUCAGCACGAGUGGUAAGGUCCCUGUGGCGCUAUGUGAGAAAUGUGGAAACCUACAGCUGCUCUCAGAACAGCUGGAAGUGUCAUAACGUUGUAGGUGCGAUUCGCAGUAGAGCGUUUGGGUGUUAAAUGACGUUAGCAGACUUUGCAGCACAUGGCCUCAGAACAGGGUUAAAGGAAGUCAAUCACCUACACUUGCAAGCAGAGUGAUUAGCAUGUUCAUAGAAAUUUCACUGUUGCACCAGAAUUGGGCUGGGUUUCCUGAAAGCAUGUUAUCACAAAAAUGAUUCCAAUAUGGUUCGGCAAGCGUCACACUAAACACUAGAACACUUUCUUUGGCUGAAAAAAUGAAGAAAUUGGUGGGUUUUGAACUCCCAUAAGCUUUCAAAAAGCUAUACAUUACUGCCAGCAUUUGGCAAAUGA